CCUACGGGAGGCAGCAGUGAGGAAUAUUGGGCAAUGGGCGCGAGCCUGAACCAGCCAAGUAGCGUGAAGGAUGACUGCCCUACGGGUUGUAAACUUCUUUUAUAAAGGAAUAAAGUGAGGCACGUGUGCCUUUUUGUCUGUACUUUAUGAAUAAGGAUCGGCUAACGCCGUGACAGCAGCCGCGGUAAUACGGAGGAUCCGAGCGUUAUCCGGGUUUAUUGGGUUUAAAGGGAGCGUAGGUGGGUUGUUAAGUCAGUUGUGAAAGUUGUCGGCUCAACCGUAAAAUUGCAAUUGAUACUGGCAGUCUUGAGUACAGUUGAGGUAGGCGGAAUUCGUGGUGUAGCGGUGAAAUGCUUAGAUAUCUCGAAGAACUCCGAUGGCGAAGGCAGCUUACUAAUCUGCCACUGACAUUGAUGCUCGAAAGUGUGGGUAUCAAACAGGAUUAGAUACCCUAGUAGUC
Molecule: ribosomal RNA, 460 nt
Filed under: uncultured bacterium
Lineage: Bacteria
Description: partial 16S ribosomal RNA
Rfam family: Bacterial small subunit ribosomal RNA
Source: RNAcentral